GAGCCGGUAGCUCAGUUGGUAGAGCAACGGACUUUUAAUCCGUGGGUCGCGGGUUCGAGCCCCGCCCGGCUCA
RNAcentral lists this transfer RNA (73 nucleotides) under Periweissella cryptocerci. It matches the Rfam family "tRNA". From Rfam's summary of the family: Transfer RNA (tRNA) molecules are approximately 80 nucleotides in length. Their secondary structure includes four short double-helical elements and three loops (D, anti-codon, and T loops). The record is from Rfam by way of RNAcentral. Lineage: Bacteria; Bacillati; Bacillota; Bacilli; Lactobacillales; Lactobacillaceae.